AGCGAACGCUGGCGGCAGGCUUAACACAUGCAAGUCGAGCGCCCCGCAAGGGGAGCGGCAGACGGGUGAGUAACACGUGGGAACGUGCCUUUUGGUUCGGAACAACCCAGGGAAACUUCGGCUAAUACUGGAUAAGCCCUUACGGGGAAAGAGUCAUCGCCAAAAGAUCGGCCCGCGUCUGAUUAGCUAGUGGGUGGGGUAAUGGCCCGCCAAGGCUAAGGUCAAUAGCUGGUCUGAGAGGAUGAUCAGCAACACUGGGACUGAGACACGGGACAAACUCGUACGGGAGGGGGCAGUGUCGAAUAUUGGACCAGUGCGGCAGCCCUGAUCCAGCCGGGACGCGUAAGUAAUGAAGGCCUAGGGGUUGUAAAGCUCUUUUAGCAGGGCAGAUAAUGACGGUACCUGCAGAAAAAGCCCCGGCUAACUUCGUGCCAGCAGCCGCCGUAA
Molecule: ribosomal RNA, 447 nt
Filed under: uncultured bacterium
Lineage: Bacteria
Description: partial 16S ribosomal RNA
Rfam family: Bacterial small subunit ribosomal RNA
Source: RNAcentral